This 253-nucleotide ribosomal RNA is filed under the name uncultured bacterium. Its description in RNAcentral is "partial 16S ribosomal RNA". It matches the Rfam family "Bacterial small subunit ribosomal RNA", at positions 524 to 776 of the family's 1533-position model. The record is from RNAcentral.
UACGUAGGGUGCGAGCGUUGCCCGGAUUUAUUGGGCGUAAAGGGCGCGUAGGCGGCUCUGCACGUUCGUUGUGAAAUCGCCCGGCUCAACUGGGCGGGGUCAGCGGAUACGGCGGAGCUUGAGCAAGCUAGGGGGCAAUGGAAUUCCCGGUGUAGAGGUGAAAUUCGUAGAUAUCGGGAGGAACACCAGUGGCGAAGGCGGCGACCUGGACGGACAUUGACGCUGAGACGCGAAAGCGUGGGGAGCAAACAGG